GACGUAGGUGGCGAACGUUAUCCGGAAUUAUUGGGCGUAAAGGGUGCGUAGAUGGUGUGAUAAGUUAUCAGUGGGAAAUCGAGGCUCAACCUCGUGGAAGCUGGUAAUACUAUUAUACUAGAGUGCAGGAGAGGUUAAUGGAACUCCAUGUGGAGCGGUAAAAUGCGUAGAUAUAUGGAAGAACAUCAAUAACGGCGAAGGCAGUUAACUAUUCUGUUACUGACAUUGAGGCACGAAAGCGUGGGGAGCAAAACGG
Molecule: ribosomal RNA, 256 nt
Filed under: uncultured bacterium
Lineage: Bacteria
Description: partial 16S ribosomal RNA
Rfam family: Bacterial small subunit ribosomal RNA
Source: RNAcentral